CGGGUGAGUAACGCGUAGGUAACCUGCCUGGUAGCGGGGGAUAACUAUUGGAAACGAUAGCUAAUACCGCAUAAUAUUGACUAUUGCAUGAUAGUUGAUUAAAAGGUGCAAUUGCAUCACUACCAGAUGGACCUGCGUUGUAUUAGCUAGUUGGUGGGGUAACGGCCCACCAAGACUACGAUGGAUAGGGGUUCUGAGAGGAAGGUCCCCCACAUUGGAACUGAGACACGGUCCAA
Molecule: ribosomal RNA, 236 nt
Filed under: uncultured bacterium
Lineage: Bacteria
Description: partial 16S ribosomal RNA
Rfam family: Bacterial small subunit ribosomal RNA
Source: RNAcentral